GGGGUUAUGGCUCAGUGGUAGAGCACUUGCCUAGCAUGUGUGAGGCACUGGGUUCGAUUCCCAGCACCA
RNAcentral lists this transfer RNA (69 nucleotides) under Ictidomys tridecemlineatus (thirteen-lined ground squirrel). RNAcentral describes it as "Spermophilus tridecemlineatus (thirteen-lined ground squirrel) tRNA". It matches the Rfam family "tRNA". Rfam says of the family: Transfer RNA (tRNA) molecules are approximately 80 nucleotides in length. Their secondary structure includes four short double-helical elements and three loops (D, anti-codon, and T loops). Further hydrogen bonds mediate the characteristic L-shaped molecular structure. tRNAs have two regions of fundamental functional importance: the anti-codon, which is responsible for specific mRNA codon recognition, and the 3' end, to which the tRNAs corresponding amino acid is attached (by aminoacyl-tRNA synthetases). tRNAs cope with the degeneracy of the genetic code in two manners: having more than one tRNA (with a specific anti-codon) for a particular amino acid; and 'wobble' base-pairing, i.e. permitting non-standard base-pairing at the 3rd anti-codon position. Lineage: Eukaryota; Metazoa; Chordata; Mammalia; Rodentia; Sciuridae. The record is from Rfam by way of RNAcentral.